Molecule: ribosomal RNA, 389 nt
Filed under: Bradyrhizobium sp. D203a
Lineage: Bacteria; Pseudomonadati; Pseudomonadota; Alphaproteobacteria; Hyphomicrobiales; Nitrobacteraceae
Description: bacterial SSU rRNA
Rfam family: Bacterial small subunit ribosomal RNA
Source: RNAcentral
AACGCUGGCGGCAGGCUUAACACAUGCAAGUCGAGCGGGCGUAGCAAUACGUCAGCGGCAGACGGGUGAGUAACGCGUGGGAACGUACCUUUUGGUUCGGAACAACACAGGGAAACUUGUGCUAAUACCGGAUAAGCCCUUACGGGGAAAGAUUUAUCGCCGAAAGAUCGGCCCGCGUCUGAUUAGCUAGUUGGUGAGGUAAUGGCUCACCAAGGCGACGAUCAGUAGCUGGUCUGAGAGGAUGAUCAGCCACAUUGGGACUGAGACACGGCCCAAACUCCUACGGGAGGCAGCAGUGGGGAAUAUUGGACAAUGGGGGCAACCCUGAUCCAGCCAUGCCGCGUGAGUGAUGAAGGCCCUAGGGUUGUAAAGCUCUUUUGUGCGGGAAG